Molecule: transfer RNA, 65 nt
Filed under: Arcuatula senhousia (Asian date mussel)
Lineage: Eukaryota; Metazoa; Mollusca; Bivalvia; Mytilida; Mytilidae
Description: tRNA-Asp
Source: RNAcentral
GGCGAAGUAAUUAAAAUAUAAUAUUAGUUUGUCGUUUUAAAGUUGCUUGUGUUAAGCCUUUGCCU